GACGAACGCUGGCGGCGUGCUUAACACAUGCAAGUCGAACGGAAAGGCCCUGCUUUUGUGGGGUGCUCGAGUGGCGAACGGGUGAGUAACACGUGAGUAACCUGCCCUUGACUUUGGGAUAACUUCAGGAAACUGGGGCUAAUACCGGAUAGGAGCUCCUGCUUCAUGGUGGGGGUUGGAAAGUUUCGGCGGUUGGGGAUGGACUCGCGGCUGAUCAGCUUGUUGGUGGGGUAGUGGCUUACCAAGGCUUUGACGGGUAGCCGGCCUGAGAGGGUGACCGGCCACAUUGGGACUGAGAUGAGGCCCAGACUCCUACGGGAGGCAGCAGUGGGGAAUAUUGCACAAUGGGCGGAAGCAUGAUGCAGCACCGCCGCGUGCGGGAUGACGGCAUUCGGGUUGUAAACCGCUUUCGCCUGUGACGAAGCGUGAGUGACGGUAAUGGGUAAAGAAGCACCGGCUAACUACGUG
RNAcentral lists this ribosomal RNA (468 nucleotides) under uncultured bacterium. RNAcentral's name for it is "partial 16S ribosomal RNA". It matches the Rfam family "Bacterial small subunit ribosomal RNA", at positions 28 to 507 of the family's 1533-position model. The record is from RNAcentral.